This 397-nucleotide ribosomal RNA is filed under the name uncultured bacterium. RNAcentral's name for it is "bacterial SSU rRNA". It matches the Rfam family "Bacterial small subunit ribosomal RNA", at positions 975 to 1375 of the family's 1533-position model. The record is from RNAcentral.
CUACCCUUGACAUGUCAGGAAUCCUUGAGAGAUCGAGGAGUGCCCGAAAGGGAACCUGAACACAGGUGCUGCAUGGCUGUCGUCAGCUCGUGUCGUGAGAUGUUGGGUUAAGUCCCGCAACGAGCGCAACCCUUGUCAUUAGUUGCUACGCAAGAGCACUCUAAUGAGACUGCCCGGUGACAAACCGGAGGAAGGUGGGGAUGACGUCAAGUCCUCAUGGCCCUUAUGGGUAGGGCUUCACACGUCAUACAAUGGUACAUACAGAGGGCCGCCAACCCGCGAGGGGGAGCUAAUCCCAGAAAGUGUAUCGUAGUCCGGAUCGCAGUCUGCAACUCGACUGCGUGAAGUUGGAAUCGCUAGUAAUCGCGGAUCAGCAUGCCGCGGUGAAUACGUUCCC